GCAGCGGGGGCUGCCGGGAGGACGCCGCGGAGACCUCAGGAGGCGAGAGAUGGUUGCUGGGCAACAGCCGAGAGUCUUGCUGGUUGGUCUGGCCAGUGGAAAACAGACAGUUUCCUUUUCCAAGGUAAAGAACUAUGGGAUGUCCAAGCAGCAUCUGGGGCCCUCAUGGUGACUAGUGACUGCUCUUGUGUUUCCUCAACACGUACCACAGAUGAGCUAUUUACCGGAAGACUCUGCACCCUCACUACAUGCCCAGGGAAACCACCGUCUCCCUCCGGUUCUGAUCCUGAGGAUUUCCCCUCUACCUGAGGGGAAGUACAACCUUCCAGUCCAGAGGUAAAGCCACAGGACUGAACAGUGGCCACAGGCAGUGCUCAAGUGGUCUGCUUUGCGGCUUCUCCUCACCUCGAUGAAUUCCAGCCGCUCUUGGCCUUCCUUCCCACUGAUGUAAACCCUAAUCACUCUUCCACAGCCCCUGCCAAACGUUCAUCAUCCAUCUACUGCGGUCAAACCAUAAUACUGGGACUUGCCACCACUUUAGGACUUGCUGGAAUGUCUAAAGAGACUCUCGAUCUAACCCACCAAUCAGCAGUCAUUACUGCUAACCAACAGAUGUCCCAAACUCAAGCGUCUUACUUUCCUACAGUACAAGAAAUACUAGGCCUGCUUUAUCCAGGCCAGAGAACCCUGGCAAAAAUGUUCUUUGGCAACAGAUUGGCCCUUGGUUAUUUAUUAGCUAAUCAAACAGACGUAACGUUACUAGUAUUUCCCGUUGUGUGUGGAUGAACAAUGCUGGACAAGCAGCCACUUCAGCGGAACGGCCGAGCUGCAAAAUCUCCAUCAUAAAAAACACGACCCACACCUUCAGGUACUAGGAUUCAACCGAAGUAUUAGUAGGUGCCCCUGUCUGAACUGAUUAAUUCUCUGGGUUAACACCAAACAGUGGGGAGCCUGGCUAUAAGCCAGGGACUCCUCAUGCUUGUGCUUGCUUCCUUCCUCUCUAAUGUCAUAAUAAAAUGUUUUCUGUGCUGUUUAGGGCAGCUUAUACCCUGUUUUCUGGAAGUCUUUAUCAUCCAGGACACAAAUACUGAUGUCAAGUUUUGAUCUCGAAACUGAUAUCAAGGCAUCAAAAGGCCAGUUGUAAUAUAAUUUUCUUCAAAGUGCUGUCUCAACACAGUUUGGAGACGCUGCCCAGAGUGCUGUCCGUUUCCCUUCUGGAGCAGCUGAUUAGGACCAUAUCCCAGCCACUGCCCUUAGCCAGCUCUCACACUCUGGGGCCACCCUAUUCCAGACCUUGUCCUCUGGGCUGGGUACCCAACAAACGGGGACAACCUCUAUGCCCCCGGAGCCCAUGAGGUUAUUCACACUGGCCGAUCCCAGGGAGCCUGCGAUACCUCGCUAACCCCACACCCUCUUUGCCACACUUAAGCUGCCUCCUUCCCUUCCCACUUACCGUUACCCUCUGCCCAGGUACAACCCCCUGCGUGGCCCUGCAUGGCAGCUGUCUCCCUUGGAGCAGUGAGGAA
Long non-coding RNA from Choloepus didactylus (southern two-toed sloth), 1526 nucleotides. RefSeq lists it as uncharacterized. The record is from RefSeq and is a predicted model, not a curated record. The transcript has 3 exons. Lineage: Eukaryota; Metazoa; Chordata; Mammalia; Pilosa; Megalonychidae.